Molecule: non-coding RNA, 146 nt
Organism: Podarcis lilfordi (Lilford's wall lizard)
Lineage: Eukaryota; Metazoa; Chordata; Lepidosauria; Squamata; Lacertidae
Source: the annotation of a GenBank genome assembly
CAAGCCAGGAUAUCAAACCAGAAUUUGAUCCUGGUUUGAUAUCCAAGUUUAUGGAGAAAUCUUAAACCAUAAUCUCUCCAUUCAAGAUUUCCCCAUAAACUUGGAUAUCAAACCAGAAUCAAAUUCUGGUUUGAUAUCCUGGUUUG